GACGAACGCUGGCGGCGUGCUUAACACAUGCAAGUCGAACGGAAAGGCCCUGCUUUUGUGGGGUGCUCGAGUGGCGAACGGGUGAGUAACACGUGAGUAACCUGCCCUUGACUUUGGGAUAACUUCAGGAAACUGGGGCUAAUACCGGAUAGGAGCUCCUGCUGCAUGGGGGGGGUUGGAAAGUUUCGGCGGUUGGGGAUGGACUCGCGGCUUAUCAGCUGGUUGGUGGGGUAGUGGCUUACCAAGGCUUUGACGGGUAGCCGGCCUGAGAGGGUGACCGGCCACAUUGGGCCUGCGAUAGGGCGCAGACUCGUACGGGAGGCAGCAGUGGGGAAUAUUGCACAAUGGGCGGAAGCCUGAUGCAGCAACGCCGCGUGCGGGAUGCCGGCCUUCUGGUUGUAAACCGCUUUCGCCUGUGACGAAGCGUGAGUGACGGUAAUGGGUAAAGAAGCACCGGCUAACUACGUG
Molecule: ribosomal RNA, 468 nt
Filed under: uncultured bacterium
Lineage: Bacteria
Description: partial 16S ribosomal RNA
Rfam family: Bacterial small subunit ribosomal RNA
Source: RNAcentral